GUGGGGAAUAUUGGUCAAUGGGCGAAAGCCUGAACCAGCAAUGCCGCGUGAGUGAUGAAGGCCUUCGGGUUGUAAAGCUCUGUCAGUGGGAACGAAUAAGCCGAUUAAUACCCGGUGAUGACGGUACCCACAAAGGAAGCACCGGCUAACUCUGUGCCAGCAGCCGCGGUAAUACAGAGGGUGCAAGCGUUGUUCGGAAUUACUGGGCGUAAAGCGCGUGUAGGCGGUUUGAUAAGUCGGUCGUGAAAUCCCUUGGCUUAACCAAGGAACUGCGAUCGAAACUGUCAGACUUGAGUAUCGGAGGGGAUGGCGGAAUUCCUGGUGUAGAGGUGAAAUUCGUAGAUAUCAGGAGGAACACCUGUGGCGAAGGCGGCCAUCUGGAAGAUUACUGACGCUGAGACGCGAAAGCGUGGGGAGCAAACAGGAUUAGAAACCCCGGUAGUCC
This 445-nucleotide ribosomal RNA is filed under the name uncultured bacterium. RNAcentral describes it as "bacterial SSU rRNA". It matches the Rfam family "Bacterial small subunit ribosomal RNA", at positions 354 to 796 of the family's 1533-position model. The record is from RNAcentral.